Molecule: transfer RNA, 67 nt
Filed under: Neotoma lepida (desert woodrat)
Lineage: Eukaryota; Metazoa; Chordata; Mammalia; Rodentia; Cricetidae
Rfam family: tRNA
About the family: Transfer RNA (tRNA) molecules are approximately 80 nucleotides in length.
Source: Rfam by way of RNAcentral
CAAGAAGUAGUUUAUUUAAAAUAUCAGCUUUAGGUGCUGAUGGUGGGGGUUAAUCCUUGCUUCUUGG